This 253-nucleotide ribosomal RNA is filed under the name uncultured bacterium. Its description in RNAcentral is "partial 16S ribosomal RNA". It matches the Rfam family "Bacterial small subunit ribosomal RNA", at positions 524 to 776 of the family's 1533-position model. The record is from RNAcentral.
UACGAGGGGUGCAAGCGUUGCUCGGAAUUAUUGGGCGUAAAGGGUAGGUAGGUGGUCUCAUUUGUCUGGGGUGAAAGCCUUGAGCUUAACUCAAGAAGUGCCCCAGAAACGGUGAGACUCGAGUCCUGGAGAGGGUCGUGGAAUUCCCGGUGUAGCGGUGAAAUGCGUAGAGAUCGGGAGGAACACCAGAGGCGAAGGCGGCGACCUGGACAGGUACUGACACUCAACUACGAAAGCGUGGGGAGCAAACAGG